GGGGAAUAUUGCACAAUGGAGGAAACUCUGAUGCAGCGACGCCGCGUGAGUGAAGAAGUAUUUCGGUAUGUAAAGCUCUUUCGGCAGGGAAGAUAAUGACGGUACCUGCAGAAGAAGCACCGGCUAAAUACGUGCCAGCAGCCGCGGUAAUACGUAUGGUGCAAGCGUUAUCCGGAUUUAUUGGGUUUAAAGGGAGCACAGGCCGGCUGUCAAGCGUGUUGUGAAAUGUAGGGGCUCAACCUCUGAACUGCAGCGCGAACUGACGGUCUUGAGUGCGCACAACGUUGGCGGAAUUCGUCGUGUAGCGGUGAAAUGCUUAGAUAUGACGAAGAACUCCGAUUGCGAAGGCAGCUGACGGGAGCGUUACUGACGCUUAAGCUCGAAAGUGCGGGUAUCGAACAGGAUUAGAUACCCUGUAGU
RNAcentral lists this ribosomal RNA (420 nucleotides) under uncultured Lachnospiraceae bacterium. RNAcentral describes it as "bacterial SSU rRNA". It matches the Rfam family "Bacterial small subunit ribosomal RNA", at positions 356 to 794 of the family's 1533-position model. Lineage: Bacteria; Bacillati; Bacillota; Clostridia; Lachnospirales; Lachnospiraceae. The record is from RNAcentral.